UGGGGAAUUUUGGACAAUGGGCGAAAGCCUGAUCCAGCAAUGCCGCGUGUGUGAAGAAGGCCUUCGGGUUGUAAAGCACUUUUGUCCGGAAAGAAAUCCUUGGCUCUAAUACAGUCGGGGGAUGACGGUACCGGAAGAAUAAGCACCGGCUAACUACGUGCCAGCAGCCGCGGUAAUACGUAGGGUGCAAGCGUUAAUCGGAAUUACUGGGCGUAAAGCGUGCGCAGGCGGUUUGCUAAGACCGAUGUGAAAUCCCCGGGCUCAACCUGGGAACUGCAUUGGUGACUGGCAGGCUAGAGUAUGGCAGAGGGGGGUAGAAUUCCACGUGUAGCAGUGAAAUGCGUAGAGAUGUGGAGGAAUACCGAUGGCGAAGGCAGCCCCCUGGGCCAAUACUGACGCUCAUGCACGAAAGCGUGGGGAGCAAAACAGGAUUAGAUACCCUGGUAGUCCACGCCCUAAACGAUGUCAACUAGUUGUUGGGGAUUCAUUUCCUUAGUAACGUAGCUAACGCGUGAAGUUGACCGCCUGGGGAGUACGGUCGC
Molecule: ribosomal RNA, 542 nt
Filed under: uncultured bacterium
Lineage: Bacteria
Description: partial 16S ribosomal RNA
Rfam family: Bacterial small subunit ribosomal RNA
Source: RNAcentral